This 253-nucleotide ribosomal RNA is filed under the name uncultured bacterium. RNAcentral's name for it is "partial 16S ribosomal RNA". It matches the Rfam family "Bacterial small subunit ribosomal RNA", at positions 524 to 776 of the family's 1533-position model. The record is from RNAcentral.
UACAGAGGGUGCAAGCGUUAUUCGGAAUUAUUGGGCGUAAAGAGCACGUAGGUGGCCUCUUAAGUCUGGUGUGAAAUCCCUGAACUCAAUUCAGGAAGUGCAUUGGAUACUGAGGGGCUUGAGGAUAGGAGAGGAGAGCGGAAUUCCUGGUGUAGAGGUGAAAUUCGUAGAUAUCAGGAGGAACAACAGAAGCGAAGGCGGCUCUCUGGACUAUAACUGACACUGAGGUGCGAAAGCGUGGGGAGCAAACAGG